This 77-nucleotide transfer RNA is filed under the name Gammaproteobacteria bacterium. RNAcentral's name for it is "tRNA-Pro". It matches the Rfam family "tRNA". Rfam says of the family: Transfer RNA (tRNA) molecules are approximately 80 nucleotides in length. The record is from RNAcentral. Lineage: Bacteria; Pseudomonadati; Pseudomonadota; Gammaproteobacteria. RNAcentral also lists the same sequence under 1 other name.
CGGGGCGUAGCGCAGUCUGGUAGCGUACAUGCAUGGGGUGCAUGUGGUCGGAGGUUCAAAUCCUCCCGUCCCGACCA